GCAAACUGAAGAUGGCGACCGGCGCACGGGUGAGUAACACGUAUCCAACCUGCCGAUAACUCCGGGAUAGCCUUUCGAAAGAAAGAUUAAUACCGGAUAGCAUACGAAUAUCGCAUGAUAUUUUUAUUAAAGAAUUUCGGUUAUCGAUGGGGAUGCGUUCCAUUAGUUUGUUGGCGGGGUAACGGCCCACCAAGACAACGAUGGAUAGGGGUUCUGAGAGGAAGGUCCCCCACAUUGGAACUGAGACACGGUCCAAACUCCUACGGGAGGCAGCAGUGAGGAAUAUUGGUCAAUGGGCGAGAGCCUGAACCAGCCAAGUAGCGUGAAGGAUGACUGCCCUAUGGGUUGUAAACUUCUUUUAUAAAGGAAUAAAGUCGGGUAUGCAUACCCGUUUGCAUGUACUUUAUGAAUAAGGAUCGGCUAACUCCGUGCCAGCAGCCGCGGUAAUACGGAGGAUCCGAGCGUUAUCCGGAUUUAUUGGGUUUAAAGGGAGCGUAGAU
This 500-nucleotide ribosomal RNA is filed under the name uncultured bacterium. Its description in RNAcentral is "bacterial SSU rRNA". It matches the Rfam family "Bacterial small subunit ribosomal RNA", at positions 78 to 576 of the family's 1533-position model. The record is from RNAcentral.